GACGAACGCUGGCGGCGUGCUUAACACAUGCAAGUCGAACGGAAAGGCCCCUUUGGGGGUACUCGAGUGGCGAACGGGUGAGUAACACGUGAGUAACCUGCCCUUGACUUCGGGAUAACUUCAGGAAACUGGGGCUAAUACCGGAUAGGAAUCCUUGCUGCAUGGUGGGGGUUGGAAAGCUUCGGCGGUUUUGGAUGGACUCGCGGCUUAUCAGCUUGUUGGUGGGGUAGUGGCUUACCAAGGCUUUGACGGGUAGCCGGCCUGAGAGGGCGACCGGCCACAGUGGGACUGAGAGACGGCCCAGACUCCGACGGGAGGCAGCAGUGGGGAAUAUUGCACAAUGGGCGGAAGCCUGAUGCAGCAACGCCGCGGGCGGGAUGACGGCCUUCGGGUUGUAAACCGCUUUCAGCAGGGGCGAAGCUUGUGGUGACGGUACCUGCAGAAGAAGCACCGGCUAACUACGUG
This 465-nucleotide ribosomal RNA is filed under the name uncultured bacterium. Its description in RNAcentral is "partial 16S ribosomal RNA". It matches the Rfam family "Bacterial small subunit ribosomal RNA", at positions 28 to 507 of the family's 1533-position model. The record is from RNAcentral.